CAUGCACUGGUGGGGUCCCUUGGCCUGGCCUGUGGAUUGGGCCAAAACCAUCUCUCCAACAUCCACCAAGGGGUCCCGGAUUGCAAGAGGGCGUAGGCCAGGCCGAGGGACCCCACCAGUGCAUG
RNAcentral lists this microRNA precursor (125 nucleotides) under Myotis lucifugus (little brown bat). RNAcentral describes it as "mir-9193 microRNA precursor family". The record is from Rfam by way of RNAcentral. Lineage: Eukaryota; Metazoa; Chordata; Mammalia; Chiroptera; Vespertilionidae.